AAGAUUAGUAUAAACGAGUGGCAAACGGAUGACUAGGAUGUUAUAAUUUGAGGACGUUAUAAAUACGAAAGAUGGGCAGAGAAGGUAUGAAAGCCCAUUUUCCAUAAGUAAACCUAAAUUCUAAACCCUAGGAAUUGAAACAUCUUAGUACUAGGAGGAAAAGAAAUCAAGCGAGAUUCCGUGAGUAGUGGCGAGCGAAAGCGGAUAUAGACUAUGGAAUCCCGCCUUUAGGGGCGGGGAUGAAAUUGAAAACCAAAGAGGGUAACAGGCCCGUAGAUAAAAUCGAUGAUUCCGUAGUUCUUGGAGUAGAACUAUUUGAAGAAAGGUGCUCCAUAUAUCUAAAACUAAAUAUUAUAACAUACCAAUAGUGAAUUAGUACUGUGAAGGAAAGUUGAAAGAGAUAAUAGUGAAAUAGAGCCUGAAANUUGCCAUCUCACAAGCAGACGAAAUUCGUUGUACCUUUUGUAUAAUGGGUUCGCAAGAUAAAUAUUUGGCAAACUUAAGUUAAUAGACGUAGGUGUAGUGAAAACGAGUUUGAAUAGAGCGUUAGUCAAAUAGAGCCCGAAACCAAGUGAUCUAGCCAUGGGCAGUUUGAANCCCGUUUAAUAGCGGGCGGAGGAACGAACCGGUGAUUGUGGCAAAAAUCUCGGAUGACCUGUGGCUAGGGGUGAAAAGCCAAUCGAACUUGGAAAUAGCUGGUUUUCUGCGAAAACUAUUGAAGUAGUGCGUCAUAUGGCGGGAUAGUCGGGAUAUCCUCGGAUAUCCCUAUAGCCGUAUAUUCUUACACAGUAAAGCACUGAAUGGGUUUAGGGGUUAGGCCUACUAAAUUCAACCAAACUAUGAAGGUGUAAGGAGAAAAUAUGAUAGACAGACAGUGGGCGAGAAGGUCCAUUGUCAAGAAGGGAACAACCUAGAUCAGAAGUUAAGGUCAUAAAUAUAAUCUAAGUGUAAAAGGGAAUUUGUAAAUUAAGACAAUGAGAAAGUAGGCUUGGAACCAGCCACCUUUGAAAGAUUACGUAACAGUUCACUCAAUAAAUUUAUAGAUCCCAAAAAUUAUGGUGGCUUAAGCUUGUUAUACUAGCCACCUAGGUUAUCCUAGGUGGCUAGUAUUAAUACCCCCUAGUCUCACUAGGGGGUAUGAAACCGAAACUCUGAAUAAAUACCAUAAGGGGCGAGGCCCCGGUGGCUUAUAGUGGUAGCAGAACGUACUGUAAAUAAUAACCAUCGACUGAAUAAAUACCCGAUGGUUGGUUAUUGCGAAAGCGUUUAUCAGGAGUGAUAAUGCGAACAUGAGUAAAAAACAGUGUGAGGAUCACUGCUCACGGCCCAAGGUUUCCAAUCAUAGGAUUAUCCGGAUUGGGUUAUACAGUCCCUAAGAGGGCUUCAUAGUAUAGGGAUAUCCUCGGAUAUCCCGAUAUAGGACCGACCAUGUCGGUGCUAUUUCGAUGGGAGUAUUUAAUAACAAGUGUCUAAGAUAUUAUAAGAAAUUAUUCAGGGUAAGACCCUAGGCUGUACUAAAACUAACACCAGUGGGCAUAAAAGUGAUGGUAUAAUUUAUCUUAAGGAACUCGGCAAAAUGUCCCUGUAAGUUCGCAAGAAGGGGAGCCAGCUAUAGACAGAGGUAACCUGGACUAGGUUAUCUAAUUUGACUGGUCUCAGAAAAGAGGGGGUGUCGACUGUUUACCAAAAACAUAGCUUCCAGCAAAGGGCCAAGGGCCUGAAGUAUUGGAGGUGAGGCCUGCCCAAUGGUUGUAUCUAAAACCAAGUAAUAAAAAAAGUUAGCUUGGGUAAGGACAAUUGAAUGGCCGCGGUAAAUCUGACCGUGAUAAUGUAGCGCAAUCAAUAGCCAAUUAAUUGUUGGCAAGUAUGAAUGGCUUAACGAAUGCCCCGCUGUCUCAAGAUAAAAACCAAUGAAAUUGAAUUCGUAGUGAAGAUGCUACGUAUAAAUUGUUAGACGAGAAGACCCCAUUGAGCUUUACUGGAGACUUAUAUGGUUCUUUACCAAUUAAUUGUGUAGACUAUGUGGGUAAACCCUCGCGUAUGCCGGCAUAUAGGCAUCUAUGAUGCCUAGGCCAUGCCGCAUGGGGUUAUAAUGCGAUACCCGAGGACUACGUCCCGGAUAUCCUUAAUGAAAAACCACUCUUGAAUUAUAAAAAGAACUAAAAUAAUGGAAAGGUAUAUGUCAGACAGUUUGGUUGGGGCGACCGCCUUCUAAAGAGUAACGAAGGCGUACAUAAGGUUAAUAAUAUAAUAGUAUAAAGUUUAAAGCCUGACAGUAAGGAGGACGUCCGAGCUGACACGCCGUAGGCAGCUGGCCUAUUCCGUGGGUUAUAAUGACCCGUUAGCUUAGAAUGGGAUAGCUAACGAGCAACGAAUAAAAGUUACCAUGGGGAUAACAGCGUAAUAUCGUUUGAGAGUUCAUAUCGACGACGAUGUUUGCGACCUCGAUGUUGAAUUGCGGGAUCCUGGAGGUGCAGCCGCUUCCAAGGGUUGGACUGUUCGUCCAUUAAAGCCGUACAUGAUUUGAGUUCAGACCGGCGUGAGCCAGGUCGGUUUCUAUCUACAAUUUAUGUAGGAAACAUUAGAUAUAACUAUAUUCUAGUACGAAAGGACCGAAUGAUUAGUUAUCCGCUGGUGAACCAAUUGUAGUUAAUCAAGGUCGAUGGCGAGGAAUAUAGGACCGACCAUGUCGGUCCCAUAGGCCAUGCCGCCUGAAGUAUUACUGUUGGGUGGCUACGAUAAUUAAAAUAAUCACUGAAUGCAUCUCAAGUGAGAAGUUAAAUAUCAUUCUAUGUUUCCAAUAUAUAGACUGUUUGAGAAUAAAACGUGGAUAGGAUCUGUGUUUAUUAGCAUCGGGGAUGCGAUAGACCGACUAUGUCGGUCCGAUGCACGCCUCUAUUCUAAGCUAAAGAUUACUAAUGGUCUAAUUUACUAAUCAU
This 2939-nucleotide ribosomal RNA is filed under the name Rezinkovia echinata. RNAcentral's name for it is "LSU rRNA". It matches the Rfam family "Bacterial large subunit ribosomal RNA". Lineage: Eukaryota; Metazoa; Porifera; Demospongiae; Spongillida; Lubomirskiidae. The record is from RNAcentral.